GUCAUAGCGACUUUUGGGAUAGUUUGCUAUCGACAAAGGGAGACAAAGUCAAGGGGUGAAGGGAAAGGAGGGCCAAGUAGAGCCUCCACGACCCUCGGCUUCCUCCUCACCAGCUCCCCCUCCCUCCAAGUCCAGUAAGAAGUUGGGCCAAGCUGGAAGGGAUUGACCGGGUUGCUUGUCUGGAGAUGGAGCCACUACAGGCGGGCCUGGGCGCCUGGAGUCGGGCAUGAAAGAAAAUAGCGCCUCAUCGCUCUUAUCUAAGCCCAGAGGUCCAGGGGACAACCUGAGGGCCCUGAAGUGUUUCAAUACCAUGUACCAGCUUGACUUCUCUACAUGUCCUUUGGAUUGCCCAAAAGCAAAAUCUCAGAGGGGCCAAGGACCUUCUAGGGCUGGCUCCCUCAGGGCCUCCUAUAGAGCAGCUCCUUGAGUCGGGCCUUAUAGCCACCAGAAAGUCACCUCGCCGCAGGAAAGCUAUAAAGAGCUGCUCCAGAGGCGCCGAAAGAGGGUAGACUUCGCUUGAAAAGAUCGAGAAUGGAGGAGGGGAUCGGCACUCACUUGCAGACAUCAACAGUUUCCAGAAAAUUCGGUUCAAUUCCUUCACCACGGACCCACCAACCAAGGAGCUGGCAAAACCCACUAACCAACCAGGAGAACACAGACCCGGUUUGUCUUUUGACAACCGAGUGGAACUGACGGGGCCGGCGCCUGCCCUGCGGGUCCCCUCCCUUGGCUGAGAAGAAAACCAAAUAAACCUUGAACAGCCUUGGCUUCG
This is a long non-coding RNA of Homo sapiens (human), 772 nucleotides long. RefSeq annotates it as HOXB cluster antisense RNA 3. Lineage: Eukaryota; Metazoa; Chordata; Mammalia; Primates; Hominidae. The transcript has 4 exons. The record is from RefSeq and is marked validated.